CCUACGGGUGGCAGCAGUGGGGAAUAUUGCGCAAUGGGCGAAAGCCUGACGCAGCGACGCCGCGUGAGGGAUGAAGGUCUUCGGAUCGUAAACCUCUGUCAGUAGGGGAGAACGGUCACUGUGCUAAUCAGCAGUGAAUUGACGGUACCUGCAAGGGAAGCACCGUCUAACUCCGUGCCAGCAGCCGCGGUAAUACGGAGGGUGCGGGCGUUGAUCGGAAUUACUGGGCGUAAAGCGCGCGUAGGCGGCAUGUCAAGUGAAGUGUGAACUGCCCGCGCUCAACGUGGGAACUGCAUUUGAAACUGGCAAACUGGAGUGUGUGAGAGGAUGGUGGAAUUCCAGGUGUAGGAGUGAAAUCCGUAGAUA
Molecule: ribosomal RNA, 366 nt
Filed under: uncultured bacterium
Lineage: Bacteria
Description: partial 16S ribosomal RNA
Rfam family: Bacterial small subunit ribosomal RNA
Source: RNAcentral